This 397-nucleotide ribosomal RNA is filed under the name uncultured bacterium. RNAcentral describes it as "bacterial SSU rRNA". It matches the Rfam family "Bacterial small subunit ribosomal RNA", at positions 360 to 773 of the family's 1533-position model. The record is from RNAcentral.
AAUAUUGGACAAUGGGCGAAAGCCUGAUCCAGCGACGCCGCGUGGGUGAAGAAGGCCUGCGGGUUGUAAACCCCUUUCAUGAGGGAAGAACACUGACCUAACCUCAGGAAGAAGCACCGGCUAACUCCGUGCCAGCAGCUGCGGUACUACGGAGAGUGCAAACGUUGUUCGGAUUCACUGGGCGUAAAGGGCACGUAGGCGGCUCGGCAAAUCGGUCGUGGAAUCUCGACGCUUACCGUCGAAACGGCGGCCGAAAAUACCGGGCUCGAGGGCGUGAGGGGUCACUGGAACUCCUGGUGAAGCGGUGAAAUGCGUAGAUAUCAGGAGGAACGCCGGAGGCGAAAGCGAGUGACUGGCGCGUUCCUGACGCUGAGGUGCGAAAGCUAGGGGAGCAAAC